Long non-coding RNA from Alosa sapidissima (American shad), 278 nucleotides. RefSeq lists it as uncharacterized. The transcript is spliced from 2 exons. The record is from RefSeq and is a predicted model, not a curated record. Lineage: Eukaryota; Metazoa; Chordata; Actinopteri; Clupeiformes; Clupeidae.
UAUGGUUUACUGGGAAAUUUUGACGUGGUGAUUGAAACGUGCACCGCGCGACGACGUUUGAACUGUCCGGCGGCGGGAGAUCAUUUUUGAGCAACAGUUCAAUCAGUCAGACCUACGGUGUUCAGCACUCUGUCAAGUUCGCAGCUCCACCUUAAUGGUGCUGCUUCACUCUGCUACUUGUGGUGGAUCAGGCUGACUGCAACCAUUGGUCUAACGUUAGGAAAUCGAGAAUUUCUAAACGGAAAAAAGUGAAUAAAUGUACUUGCUUUUCAAACUGA